UUGUGCAACAUGUCAGUCUGUCAGUCGGUCCUCUCGCUCCCCGCCGAGUCCUGUCCCUCCGCCACACAACCGCUCUGCCUUUUACGGGUGACCUUCCAUCCCGAGGGCGCUUUUCAAUCCGUUCCUGCCACCCACCAUCUUACAUGGAGCUUACACCCUUAAUCAGGAGCCCCUCGGUGAAAGGCCUCCGUGUCAGCGCAUUCGAGCUGUGCGCCCGCAGUGUGGAUGUUCAGUAGGCCUACAUGUGCAGAAGCAAGGAAUGCACGCGCACGCCGAGAUGACGCCUUCGCCUCCCGAUGAACGUUCACCUGGCUGACAUUUUCCGACGAUGCUGAUUUUAACGGUUGGAGCCCGGCGCCACGCUGGCUUCUGCUUUCGUUGCAGAGCCCCACGCAGCGCUAGGCUGACUUUUAAACAGGGUUAGCGGGAAGAAUCAGACCCCUGGGAUUUGUCUCCAUCUCUUCUUCUUUGUGUUGUGUGGAGACCGGGUUUAAUAUUUGCUUCUUUUCUUUUCCUACAGUGGUUGUGAAGGCAGACGGACCUUUAUUAGUGUAGGAUUUAUUGUAUGUCAUUUAAGCUCUCUUUUUGUCUUUAAAUCUGCAGUGUCACCAUUAUCUUGAGUUUUAUAUUAUUAUUGUUUUUUCGACAGGCAUUUGUUUUCUAAUUCCCAAGACACAAAGAAAAGAACCACAUAUGCCAGUAGCAAACAACUGCCAAUGCUUCAAAAAUACAAUAAGCAUUAUAAUGAGCCUAUAUCUCUAUAGACAUAAUGUAUUCAGGCUCUUGUGCUUUCAGCUGUGUUUUCUGCUCAGAUCUCCCCACUGAAGGGAACCGGACAGAAUGAGCGAUGCGCGAACACAUCUGAAGACAAUGAAGCUCCAUUUGUUUAAGAGCUCAUUUUAAUUACCUCUAAAGUGCUACAGGGCGGUACUGCGUAAUAUUCUAAUUCUGUAUGUGCUUGACUACUGGCACACAGAGCAGAACAACACACCAAGGACCACAAUAUACAGAGUGCAGCAUUUCUGCGAGGAUUUACAGCGUCCUCGUCCACCACAGCUUCCUUUGCUCUGUUGUUUAUUUCAAGACACCAAAGCAAAGCCAGAGGUCACUUCUGAGUGGGCCUUUUUGUCGAGACACCCACCGGCCCACUCAGCACUCCCACCCCCCCCUUUUAACAUCUUCUUGUUUGACCUGGCUUAUCUGCACCCUGUUAAUGGGACCUGGGCUGGGCGGCUCUCUGGCAUUACGAGGCCAGAGGAGUAGACGGCGGGGCCACUGAGGGUGGAAGGGGAUCUCAGGGUCGAGGCGAGGCCAAGUCCGGGUCUUUCUUAUGGAAAUGCAUGCGUGUAGAAUCCUCACAGGCACUACUGGGUGGGCGGGUUCUUACUUUAGCGAGACGGGACCUCCAGGGACUAGAACAAGAUCUUCCUAUAGAGCCACGGGACCCUUGGUCCAACUUGUAAAAGCUGAGGGCAUUGGAUACGCCCCGGCUGACCACCCAGGGGUGCAGGCUUUCAACAUUUCCAUCAGGCAGCGUGUGUAGCCACGCCAGAGGGUCCCAAUGUGCCAACGGGUAACAGUAGUUCUCCCACGGUCUACAGGUGGAGGUGGGACGCAUCAGGAGGCCUGUGGCACCGUCUGGACACCAAGUGUCCGUUCCCUGCUUUCUUCCCGAAAGCCAGAAUCAUCUGCUGGACCUCACAAUGGUUGAGGCACUGGUCUGUGGAGGAGUAGCAUACGGUACAUUCCCGAAAGGAAGACCCCCCGCGCACUACGCUGGCAGAACAAGCAGGAAGGUCGUGAACCGCUUCAGGUGCAUGCUGGGUAUGUGUUCACAUGUUUGAGGGAUAUUCUGACAGCUUCUCCAAGUUUAAAGGAAAAGGAAAGGAAACAGCAAUCGUGGCUUUGUUCACAAGCAGGUUUCACACGAGCCGGUUUAGUUGGACGGAGCCAUGCCGGCUGUUUCCCUGUAGCUUCAUCUUAUUGACAUUUUCAUCUAACUUUACGUGCCGUUUACUAAAAGGGUGAGCCGGAAUCAUGUCCAUAGAGAAUGUAGGUAAAUUAUUUGGAUUUCGUUGGAAAUGUGUUCACUUUUUGUGCUUUGCAUUCUUUGCUUUAAUCUCAAUUUAAUCCGAACAAAACCACUACUGGAUUACAUUAAAGAUUGUUGUUGAAGGAUUAGUGCCAAUGUUCCCGGUCAAACGCAUUUAAAUUCACUCUAUUAAACUACUAAAUACAGAAGAGA
Non-coding RNA from Gasterosteus aculeatus aculeatus (three-spined stickleback), 2245 nucleotides. NCBI's taxonomy places the organism in Eukaryota, Metazoa, Chordata, Actinopteri, Perciformes, Gasterosteidae. The record is from RefSeq and is a predicted model, not a curated record.